Molecule: small RNA, 29 nt
Filed under: Bombyx mori (domestic silkworm)
Lineage: Eukaryota; Metazoa; Arthropoda; Insecta; Lepidoptera; Bombycidae
Description: ovarian small RNA-25694
Source: RNAcentral
UCAGCGGGACGCGUCGUGAGCGUGUUGCU